Molecule: ribosomal RNA, 478 nt
Filed under: uncultured bacterium
Lineage: Bacteria
Description: partial 16S ribosomal RNA
Rfam family: Bacterial small subunit ribosomal RNA
Source: RNAcentral
GACGAACGCUGGCGGCGUGCUUAACACAUGCAAGUCGAACGGUAAGGCCCUUCGGGGUACACGAGUGGCGAACGGGUGAGUAACACGUGGGUGAUCUGCCCUGCACUUCGGGAUAAGCCGGGGAAACUGGGUCUAAUACCGGAUAGGAACCCUGCCUGCAUGGGCGGGGGUGGAAAGCUUUUGCGGUGUGGGAUGGGCCCGCGGCCUAUCAGCUUGUUGGUGGGGUGAUGGCCUACCAAGGCGACGACGGGUAGCCGGCCUGAGAGGGUGUCCGGCCACACUGGGACUGAGAUACGGCCCAGACUCCUACGGGAGGCAGCAGUGGGGAAUAUUGCACAAUGGGCGCAAGCCUGAUGCAGCGACGCCGCGUGAGGGAUGACGGCCUUCGGGUUGUAAACCUCUUUCACCAGGGACGAAGCGCAAGUGACGGUACCUGGAGAAGAAGCACCGGCCAACUACGUGCCAGCAGCCGCCGUAA